Molecule: ribosomal RNA, 253 nt
Filed under: uncultured bacterium
Lineage: Bacteria
Description: partial 16S ribosomal RNA
Rfam family: Bacterial small subunit ribosomal RNA
Source: RNAcentral
UACGUAGGAUGCAAGCGGUGUCCGGAUUUAUUGGGUUUAAAGGGUGCGUGGGCGGCCUAUUAAGUUAGUGGUGAAAACGUUCGGCUUAACCGGAUACCCGCCAUUGAUACUGAUAGACUUGAGUGCGACAGAGGGUGUUGGAAUGUGUGGUGUAGCGGUGAAAUGCUUAGAUAUCACGCAGAACACCAAUUGCGAAGGCAGGUGCCUAUGUCGUAACUGACGCUGAGGCACGAAAGCGUGGGGAGCAAACAGG